Molecule: non-coding RNA, 226 nt
Filed under: Sphingobium chungbukense
Lineage: Bacteria; Pseudomonadati; Pseudomonadota; Alphaproteobacteria; Sphingomonadales; Sphingobiaceae
Source: RNAcentral
AACGCCCUCGAUCGCGCCGGUGUCCCGAAAGGGGCUUAAUAGGGAAUGGGGUGUAAAUCCCCGGCUGUCCCUGCAACUGUAAGCGGUGAGCGAGAGACAUAUCGAUCCUUUCCGGGUGGAAAGGAUCAGCCACUGGGCCGGACGCUAAAUCCUGCGAGGCCUGGGAAGGCCAUGUUUCAAGCGAUGACCCGCGAGCCAGGAGACCUGCCGGCGUCUGGUCGCUCUU